GGUAGGUCUCAUAAACAUGUAAGUGAUCAUGUAUAAGUGCGAUUGUAUAUAUUUUAAGAGUUAUUAUAAGGGUCUAAUUACUUUUAUAUAAUGUUACUACAAGAUCAGAAUUUGGCAAAGUUCCUUCGGUUGCAGCUAAAUCCAGAAAAUGCUAUAUGAGCAUCGAUGCCUUGAAGGAAUUGGAGCCUUUCACUGAACUACGUGCCAUUGCAGUAAGUUAUUACUUUAGAUGAAUCGAUGCUUUAUUUUCUACUUGAACAUGUUUGGGUUGUAUAUUGUAGUUGGUGGAUCUUUAGUUGAAUUAUGGAUUUAUUGGGUACUCAAAUAUAUUUGAAUUGUGCAAUGUAGUUGGUGAAUAAUUGAGCAGCUAUAUGUAUUUUGGGUUCUCUAAUGUAGUUUAUGCAUAUUUUUGUUGAAUUGUUGCUUUGUUUCAUACUUUAGCAUUUGUUAGUUGUGUUAGUAGUUGGUCGAUCUUUUAUAUGAAUUAUUGUGUUUUUUUCUACUUGAACAUCUUUGGGUUGAGCAAUGUAAUUGGGGGAUUUUUAUUUGGAUUAUUGUUUUAUUAUAUACUCCGUAUCAAAUAGGUCAUGUUAAUGCAGCUUUUGAUAUUACUCGGGCGAAUUUGACAGAGUCUAUCAAGAAUGUAUGAAUGAGAGUCUAUCAAG
RNAcentral lists this long non-coding RNA (665 nucleotides) under Erythranthe guttata (spotted monkey flower). RNAcentral's name for it is "long non-coding RNA (EGUT_LNC000018)". The record is from RNAcentral. Lineage: Eukaryota; Viridiplantae; Streptophyta; Magnoliopsida; Lamiales; Phrymaceae.